UUGAACGCUGGCGGCAGGCCUAACACAUGCACGUCGAGCGGUAGAGAGAAGCUUGCUUCUCUUGAGAGCGGCGGACGGGUGAGUAAUGCCUAGGAAUCUGCCUGGUAGUGGGGGAUAACGUUCGGAAACGGACGCUAAUACCGCAUACGUCCUACGGGAGAAAGCAGGGGACCUUCGGGCCUUGCGCUAUCAGAUGAGCCUAGGUCGGAUUAGCUAGUUGGUGGGGUAAUGGCUCACCAAGGCGACGAUCCGUAACUGGUCUGAGAGGAUGAUCAGGCACACUGGAACUGAGACACGGUCCAGACUCCUACGGGAGGCAGCAGUGGGGAAUAUUGGACAAUGGGCGAAAGCCUGAUCCAGCCAUGCCGCGUGUGUGAAGAAGGUCUUCGGAUUGUAAAGCACUUUAAGUUGGGAGGAAGGGUUGUAGAUUAAUACUCUGCAAUUUUGACGUUACCGACAGAAUAAGCACCGGCUAACUCUGU
This 482-nucleotide ribosomal RNA is filed under the name uncultured bacterium. Its description in RNAcentral is "bacterial SSU rRNA". It matches the Rfam family "Bacterial small subunit ribosomal RNA", at positions 30 to 506 of the family's 1533-position model. The record is from RNAcentral.